Molecule: ribosomal RNA, 938 nt
Filed under: Klebsiella aerogenes
Lineage: Bacteria; Pseudomonadati; Pseudomonadota; Gammaproteobacteria; Enterobacterales; Enterobacteriaceae
Description: bacterial SSU rRNA
Rfam family: Bacterial small subunit ribosomal RNA
Source: RNAcentral
GUGGGAGGACUACCAUGCAGUCGAGCGGUAGCACAGAGAGCUUGCUCUCGGGUGACGAGCGGCGGACGGGUGAGUAAUGUCUGGGAAACUGCCUGAUGGAGGGGGAUAACUACUGGAAACGGUAGCUAAUACCGCAUAACGUCGCAAGACCAAAGUGGGGGACCUUCGGGCCUCAUGCCAUCAGAUGUGCCCAGAUGGGAUUAGCUAGUAGGUGGGGUAAUGGCUCACCUAGGCGACGAUCCCUAGCUGGUCUGAGAGGAUGACCAGCCACACUGGAACUGAGACACGGUCCAGACUCCUACGGGAGGCAGCAGUGGGGAAUAUUGCACAAUGGGCGCAAGCCUGAUGCAGCCAUGCCGCGUGUAUGAAGAAGGCCUUCGGGUUGUAAAGUACUUUCAGCGAGGAGGAAGGCAUUAAGGUUAAUAACCUUGGUGAUUGACGUUACUCGCAGAAGAAGCACCGGCUAACUCCGUGCCAGCAGCCGCGGUAAUACGGAGGGUGCAAGCGUUAAUCGGAAUUACUGGGCGUAAAGCGCACGCAGGCGGUCUGUCAAGUCGGAUGUGAAAUCCCCGGGCUCAACCUGGGAACUGCAUUCGAAACUGGCAGGCUAGAGUCUUGUAGAGGGGGGUAGAAUUCCAGGUGUAGCGGUGAAAUGCGUAGAGAUCUGGAGGAAUACCGGUGGCGAAGGCGGCCCCCUGGACAAAGACUGACGCUCAGGUGCGAAAGCGUGGGGAGCAAACAGGAUUAGAUACCCUGGUAGUCCACGCCGUAAACGAUGUCGACUUGGAGGUUGUGCCCUUGAGGCGUGGCUUCCGGAGCUAACGCGUUAAGUCGACCGCCUGGGGAGUACGGCCGCAAGGUAAAACUCAAAUGAAUUGACGGGGGCCCGCACAAGCGGUGGAACAUGUGGUUAAUUCGAUGCACGCGAAAACCUUACU